GUUUGAUCCUGGCUCAGGAUUAACGCUGGCGGCGUGCCUAAUACAUGCAAGUCGAACGGAAACCUUCGGGUUUUAGUGGCGAACGGGUGAGUAACACGUAAGCAACCUACCCUAAAGACGAGGAUAACCAUUGGAAACAGUGGCUAAGACUGGAUAGGAAGAAAUAAGGCAUCUUUUUUCUUUUAAAAGACCUAGUGAUAGGUAUACUUUAGGAGGGGCUUGCGCCAUAUUAGUUAGUUGGUAGGGUAAUGGCCUACCAAGACGAUGAUGUGUAGCUGGACUGAGAGGUUGAACAGCCACAUUGGGACUGAGACACGGCCCAAACUCCUACGGGAGGCAGCAGUAGGGAAUUUUCGGCAAUGGAGGAAACUCUGACCGAGCAACGCCGCGUGAACGACGAAGUACUUUGGUAUGUAAAGUUCUUUUAUCAAGGAAGAAAAGCAAGUGGUGAACCAUUUGUUUGCCGGUACUUGAUGAAUAAGCCCCGGCUAAUUAUGUGCCAGCAGCCGCGGUAAGACAUAAGGGGCAAGUGUUAUCCGGAAUUAUUGGGCGUAAAGGGUGCGUAGGCGGUCUAGUAAGUCAGUGGUGUAAUGGCAACGCUCAACGUUGUCCGGCUAUUGAAACUGCUAAACUUGAGUUAGAUAGAGGCGAGUGGAAUUCCAUGUGUAGCGGUAAAAUGCGUAAAUAUAUGGAGGAACACCAGAGGCGUAGGCGGCUCGCUGGGUCUUAACUGACGCUGAGGCACGAAAGCGUGGGGAGCAAACAGGAUUAGAUACCCUGGUAGUCCACGCCGUAAACGAUGAGUACUAAGUGUCGGGUUAAACCGGUACUGAAGUUAACACAUUAAGUACUCCGCCUGAGUAGUACGUACGCAAGUAUGAAACUUAAAGGAAUUGACGGGACUCCGCACAAGCGGUGGAUCAUGUUGUUUAAUUCGAAGAUACCCGAAAAACCUUACCAGGUCUUGACAUGUUUUUGCGAAACGGUAGUAAUAUCGUGGAGGUUAUCAGAAACACAGGUGGUGCAUGGUUGUCGUCAGCUCGUGUCGUGAGAUGUUAGGUUAAGUCCUAAAACGAGCGAAACCCUUAUCGUUAGUUGCCAGCACGUUAUGGUGGGGACUUUAACGAGACUGCCAGUGAUAAAUUGGAGGAAGGUGAGGAUCACGUCAAAUCAGCAUGCCCCUUAUGACCUGGGCUACAAACGUGAUACAAUGGCUGUUACAAAGGGUAGCUGAAACGCAAGUUCUUGGCCAAUCCCCAAAAGCAGUCUCAGUCCGGAUUGAAGUCUGCAACUCGACUUCAUGAAGUUGGAAUCGCCAGUAAUCGCGAAUCAGCAUGUCGCGGUGAAUACGUUCUCGGGGUUUGUACACACCACCCGUCAAACCACGAAAGUUGGCAAUACCCCAAAACGGUAGCCUAACUCGUUUAUCGAGAGGGCGCUGUCUAAGGUAGGGUCGAUGAUUGGGGUUAAGUCGUAACAAGGUAUCCCUACCGGAAGGUGGGGAUGGAUCACCUCCUUUCU
RNAcentral lists this ribosomal RNA (1521 nucleotides) under Candidatus Phytoplasma citri. RNAcentral's name for it is "Candidatus Phytoplasma aurantifolia 16S ribosomal RNA". It matches the Rfam family "Bacterial small subunit ribosomal RNA". Lineage: Bacteria; Bacillati; Mycoplasmatota; Mollicutes; Acholeplasmatales; Acholeplasmataceae. The record is from RNAcentral.